UAUUGGGCGUAAGAGCUCGUAGGCGGUUUGUCGCGUCUGCUGUGAAAUCCCGAGGCUCAACCUCGGGCUUGCAGUGGGUACGGGCAGACUAGAGUGCGGUAGGGGAGAUUGGAAUUCCUGGUGUAGCGGUGGAAUGCGCAGAUAUCAGGAGGAACACCGAUGGCGAAGGCAGAUCUCUGGGCCGUAACUGACGCUGAGGAGCGAAAGCGUGGGGAGCGAACAGGAUUAGAUACCCUGGUAGUCCACGCCGUAAACGUUGGGCGCUAGAUGUAGGGACCUUUCCACGGUUUCUGUGUCGUAGCUAACGCAUUAAGCGCCCCGCCUGGGGAGUACGGCCGCAAGGCUAAAACUCAAAGGAAUUGACGGGGGCCCGCACAAGCGGCGGAGCAUGCGGAUUAAUUCGAUGCAACGCGAAGAACCUUACCAAGGCUUGACAUACACCGGAAACGGCCAGAGAUGGUCGCCCCCUUGUGGUCGGUGUACAGGUGGUGCAUGGUUGUCGUCAGCUCGUGUCGUGAGAUGUUGGGUUAAGUCCCGCAACGAGCGCAACCCUCGUUCUAUGUUGCCAGCGCGUUAUGGCGGGGACUCAUAGGAGACUGCCGGGGUCAACUCGGAGGAAGGUGGGGAUGACGUCAAAUCAUCAUGCCCCUUAUGUCUUGGGCUUCACGCAUGCUACAAUGGCCGGUACAAAGGGCUGCGAUACCGUAAGGUGGAGCGAAUCCCAAAAAGCCGGUCUCAGUUCGGAUUGAGGUCUGCAACUCGACCUCAUGAAGUCGGAGUCGCUAGUAAUCGCAGAUCAGCAACGCUGCGGUGAAUACGUUCCCGGGCCUUGUACACACCGCCCGUCAAGUCAUGAAAGUCGGUAACACCCGAAGCCGGUGGCCUAACCCUUGUGGAGGAGCCGUCGAAGUGGGAUCG
RNAcentral lists this ribosomal RNA (918 nucleotides) under Curtobacterium sp. RNAcentral's name for it is "bacterial SSU rRNA". It matches the Rfam family "Bacterial small subunit ribosomal RNA", at positions 552 to 1470 of the family's 1533-position model. Lineage: Bacteria; Bacillati; Actinomycetota; Actinomycetes; Micrococcales; Microbacteriaceae. The record is from RNAcentral.